Molecule: transfer RNA, 73 nt
Filed under: Gaiellaceae bacterium
Lineage: Bacteria; Bacillati; Actinomycetota; Thermoleophilia; Gaiellales; Gaiellaceae
Also listed under: 2 other names
Description: tRNA-Thr
Rfam family: tRNA
About the family: Transfer RNA (tRNA) molecules are approximately 80 nucleotides in length. Their secondary structure includes four short double-helical elements and three loops (D, anti-codon, and T loops).
Source: RNAcentral
GCCGGAGUAGCUCAGCUGGUAGAGCAGGGCUCUUGUAAAGCUCAGGCCAGGGGUUCGAGUCCCCUCUCCGGCU